UAGGGAGCAAGCGUUGUCCGGAUUUACUGGGUGUAAAGGGUGCGUAGGCGGCUUUGCAAGUCAGAAGUGAAAUCCAUGGGCUUAACCCAUGAACUGCUUUUGAAACUGCAGGGCUUGAGUGAAGUAGAGGUAGGCGGAAUUCCCGGUGUAGCGGUGAAAUGCGUAGAGAUCGGGAGGAACACCAGUGGCGAAGGCGGCCUACUGGGCUUUAACUGACGCUGAGGCACGAAAGCGUGGCUAGCAAA
RNAcentral lists this ribosomal RNA (245 nucleotides) under uncultured bacterium. RNAcentral describes it as "partial 16S ribosomal RNA". It matches the Rfam family "Bacterial small subunit ribosomal RNA", at positions 528 to 772 of the family's 1533-position model. The record is from RNAcentral.